CCACGGGUAAUGAAUGAGAAACACCCCAAAGACCCUAUAAAAGGGGCCCUUGGGGGGUCCUCAUUCAUUAACAAUUCCCCUCCAACACACUUGACACACACUCCAACCAGAACAAACUAAGGAGCCCGAGUCGUCGACUCCCACACCUAAGUCGCCGACUCCCCUCCUCUCUGCAGAUACAUUGACGUAGAGCGUGCGUCGUGGACUCCAAAGCCUCUGGCCCUCCUCGCAAAAACGUGUGGGCAAGUGUGGAGUGAAAGCUCUUGAGUUUG
Molecule: long non-coding RNA, 272 nt
Filed under: Zostera marina
Lineage: Eukaryota; Viridiplantae; Streptophyta; Magnoliopsida; Alismatales; Zosteraceae
Description: long non-coding RNA (ZMAR_LNC002289)
Source: RNAcentral